UUAUAGGGUCUGAAGAAAAAUGGGAAAAGAAAAAAAUGGGAAAGGGGAACCUUGCUUCACUUGGACGUUUCGAACUCAUGAGACGACCUCUCUUUAUUUUGCUUUGAGCUGCAACUUCAGCCCUCCGAUCAACUUUGCCUUUCCAUCGUUCAUCUUCGGUCACGGCUUCUUCUCCACCGGUUAGGGUCAACAUCAAAGGCCAUUGGAGUUCUAUUUCUCUCGCGCUCUGCCCUAGCUCUUGGGUAUGUUUUCUGCCAAAAUGAAGCAUGUUCGAGCUUUACUCCCCAAGGGCAGCUUCAGCUUUCCAACCAAAACACUGUCGUUCCACUUAGGCCCAGAUAGUGCAGCAGUAAUCUAGCACCGACCCAAUUUUUACAUCCAAUGGUGGCAGCAACGUCAGACAGCGGCAACCCAUUCUCUUUAUCAAUUAAGCGCAAUCAAAUUUCAGCAGCAGCCCAACAACAUUGAAUUCCAGCAGCCACUGAUUUCCAACCUCUCAAUCUCACUUGUAGAAGCCCAAUGCAAUCGACCCAAUUGAAAUCAGCCUUUGUAACAGCUUCACUAAUCAGCUGGCAGCAGCACCUAUUCUUCUCCGAGACCGGCCCAGUUUGAUAAAAACAUUUCA
RNAcentral lists this long non-coding RNA (625 nucleotides) under Vigna radiata. RNAcentral's name for it is "long non-coding RNA (VRAD_LNC002695)". The record is from RNAcentral. Lineage: Eukaryota; Viridiplantae; Streptophyta; Magnoliopsida; Fabales; Fabaceae.